Long non-coding RNA from Halichondria panicea, 678 nucleotides. RefSeq lists it as uncharacterized. NCBI's taxonomy places the organism in Eukaryota, Metazoa, Porifera, Demospongiae, Suberitida, Halichondriidae. The record is from RefSeq and is a predicted model, not a curated record. The transcript is spliced from 3 exons.
AGGGCCAAUGAAAACAGACCUUAACGCGGGCAUUUUCGAAUCAGUUUUUAUUGUUGAAUCGGAUAGGGCGUCCUUUAAGCUUCAAAAUGAUACCAAGAUCGACCUCCUAGCUACUUUCUUUCCGGAGAUAUGUUCAAGGGAACGCUACGAAGGUAUUGCAACGCCCUCUUGAGUAAAUGACGCUCAAACGUCAUGAUAAUUGAAGUUCAAUUAUUGGCUUCCGGGCACUUCCGUAUACUCAUAAAGCUUAGUAAAAGAUGUUCUGGAGAAGACAAGUUAGUUAGAUGAAGGCUAGGCGUUCUAGGAGUCUCUAGCUAGCUAGUAUAGCUAUGUAGCUGGAUUGCUUGGCACCUAGGAAGGAUCUUCGAAGAAAUAAAGAGACAAAGACUCCCGUCGCUCGAAUGGUGGUGGUAAGUGUCGGAGGCCUGAGAAACGCUAGUCUAUUGGCUAGAAUGUUGUUAUGGAGUGUUUAUGAGGACACAUGGCACGGGAUACGUACAUCUAAAGAAACAAGAGUGGAUCUACGCCAAGCUAGCUAGCUAGAUAGCUGCUCUUUCUAAUCUAUUUCUGUUGCUAAAUUAUGUUUGUUAAGAAGUGGAGCUAUAAUAUACCUGGCUCCUCUUGAUGAUUGUAAGUACUGGGCUGAUGAAAUAGUCCUGUACAAGUUGUCAUCUUUUA